GACGAACGCUGGCGGCAUGCUUAACACAUGCAAGUCGAACGAGACGUUCGGGUUUAGUGGCGCAGGGGUGGGUGACGCGUGGGAACCUGCCCUUGGGUUCGCAAUAACUCCCCGAAAGAGAUGCUAAUACCGCUUAAUGUCUUCGGACCAAAGAGUUAUCGCCUUUGGAUGGGGCCGCGUUGGAUUAGCUAGUUGGUAGGGUAAAAGCCUAUCAAGGCGACGAUGCAUAGCUGGUCUGGGAGGAUGAUCCGCCAGACUUGGACUGAGACACGGCCCAGACUCCGAGGGGAGGCAGCGGUGGAUAAUAUAGGAGGAUGGGCGAAAGCAUGAUCCAGCAAUGCGGGGUGAGUGAUGAAGGCCGUAGGGUAGUGAAGUUCCUUUAGCCGAGAUGAUAAUGACGGUACCGGGAGAAGAAGCUCCGGCUAACUCCGUG
RNAcentral lists this ribosomal RNA (433 nucleotides) under uncultured bacterium. Its description in RNAcentral is "partial 16S ribosomal RNA". It matches the Rfam family "Bacterial small subunit ribosomal RNA", at positions 28 to 507 of the family's 1533-position model. The record is from RNAcentral.